GAUGAACGCUGGCGGCGUGCCUAACACAUGCAAGUCGAACGGACAGACGCGGAGCUUGCGCCGUUGCCGUUAGCGGCGGGCGGGUGAGUAACGCGUGGAUCACCUACUUCUCUUACUGGGAUGACUUCGGAACACGGGAGCUAAUCCCGGAGCAUAUAUUGUACCGCAUGAUUCAGUAGAGAAUGACGGUUUGGCUGUCACUUAUAGCUGGAUCCGCGCCGCAUUAGCUAGUUGGUAAGGUAACGGCCUACCAAGGCGACGAUGCGUAGCCGGCCUGAGAGGGUGAUCGGCCACACUGGAACGGAGACACGGUCCAGACGCCUACGGGAGGCAGCAGUAGGGAAUCUUGCGCAAUGGGCGAAAGCCUGACGGAGCAACGCCGCGUGAGUGAUGAAGGCCUUCGGAUCGUAAAGCCCUGUUAUGAGGGAAGAACAAAUGUGGAAGUAAAUAAGGCCGUCUUGACGGUACCUAAAGAGAAAGCAACGGCUAACUACGUG
RNAcentral lists this ribosomal RNA (497 nucleotides) under uncultured bacterium. Its description in RNAcentral is "partial 16S ribosomal RNA". It matches the Rfam family "Bacterial small subunit ribosomal RNA", at positions 28 to 507 of the family's 1533-position model. The record is from RNAcentral.